Anas platyrhynchos (mallard) is the source of this 585-nucleotide non-coding RNA. The record is from RefSeq and is a predicted model, not a curated record. Lineage: Eukaryota; Metazoa; Chordata; Aves; Anseriformes; Anatidae.
CCCAGCACAACUACAAUGGACGCUCUUCCGUUCUCUGGGAAGUUUGCCAGGACAACACUGCCAGGGAAAGAAGGACGUGUGACUGACUGUACCUAACUGAGGACAGAAACACAACCCAAGGGGCUCGGAGGUAAGUUUGCUUCGCUCUUGGGGUCCUCUUUCCCUAAAAAACUUGUUCUCUCUGAGCUUUAGAGAAGCAAAAGCUUUGGUACUUACUUGGCAGAAACUGGAUCAACUGUUAAGACCCAUCCUUCAUAUUCAUUUUUCUCAGCUGCUGCAACUUUCACCCUUUUGUUCACGUAUGUUUCCCAGUCUAGAGGGCUUUUCAUUUGCCAGUCAUUCAUAUUGCCUACACCCAGAACCUAGAAAACAGCCAGAGCAAUUAGCAGAAGUAACCAAUCUCCUCGCUUUACCCUUUACAUCAAAAUUUGCCUCUAGGGAGCUUCUGUAUUUUAAGACUGCUACUGAACCGCUCCCUGUGGAUGAAGCAAACAAGCUUCCAUCGCUCAGGAAUAUAAAUGAAAAUGUGGUGAUGUUGUGAUACUAGCAGGAAAUAAAAUACCGCAGGUAUAAAAGGAAAAAUUU